GAAGCCCCAGUAAACGGCGGCCGUAACUAUAACGGUCCUAAGGUAGCGAAAUUCCUUGUCGGGUAAGUUCCGACCUGCACGAAUGGCGUAACGAUGGCCCCACUGUCUCCACCGGCGACUCAGCGAAAUUGUAUUGGCGGCGCAGAUGCCGUCUACCCGCGGAAAGACGGAAAGACCCUGUGCACCUUUACUGCAACUUGGCAGUGAAAUUCGAAGGAGUCUGUGUAGGAUAGGUGGGAGGCUUUGAAGCCGGGCCGCUAGACUCGGUGGAGCCAACCUUGAAAUACCACCCUGAUUGUUUUGGAUUUCUAACUCAGUCCCCUGAUCGGGGACGAGGACACUGCCUGGUGGGUAGUUUGACUGGGGCGGUCGCCUCCCAAAUUGUAACGGAGGCGCGCAAAGGUUCCCUCAGGCUGAUUAGAAACCAGCCGUUGAGUGUAAAAGCAGAAGGGAGCUUGACUGCGAGACCUACAAGUCGAGCAGGUACGAAAGUAGGCUUUAGUGAUCCGGUGGUUCUGUAUGGAAGGGCCAUCGCUCAUCGGACAAAAGGUACGCCGGGGAUAACAGGCUGAUCGCAUCCAAGAGUUCACAUCGACGAUGCGGUUUGGCACCUCGAUGUCGGCUCAUCGCAUCCUGGGGCUGAAGUAGGUCCCAAGGGUUUGGCUGUUCGCCAAUUAAAGCGGUACGCGAGCUGGGUUCAAAACGUCGUGAGACAGUUUGGUCCCUAUCUUCCGUGGGCGCAGGAGAAUUGAGAGGAUCUGUCCUUAGUACGAGAGGACCGGGAUGGACGGACCGCUAGUGUUCCGGCUGUUACGCCAGUAGCAGACGCCGGGUAGCUAAGUCCGGAUCGGAUAAGCGCUGAAAGCAUAUAAGUGCGAAACCGACCUCAAGAUAAGUUCUCCCAACUCCGUGAGGGGUAAGAAGACCACUCGUAGACUACGAGUUUGAUAGGCUGGGUGUGUAAGAGCAGUUAAUGUUCUUAGCUGACCAGUACUAAUCGGUCGUUCGGCUUGACCAU
This 1018-nucleotide ribosomal RNA is filed under the name Deltaproteobacteria bacterium PRO3. Its description in RNAcentral is "partial 23S ribosomal RNA". It matches the Rfam family "Bacterial large subunit ribosomal RNA", at positions 1914 to 2925 of the family's 2925-position model. The record is from RNAcentral. Lineage: Bacteria; Deltaproteobacteria.